RNAcentral lists this ribosomal RNA (506 nucleotides) under uncultured bacterium. RNAcentral's name for it is "partial 16S ribosomal RNA". It matches the Rfam family "Bacterial small subunit ribosomal RNA", at positions 28 to 507 of the family's 1533-position model. The record is from RNAcentral.
GACGAACGCUGGCGGCGUGCUUAACACAUGCAAGUCGAACGGUGAAGGGACUGGUUUUGCUGGUCCUGGAUGGGUGGCGAACGGGUGAGUAACACGUGAGUAACCUGCCCCCUUCUUCUGGAUAACCGCAUGAAAGUGUGGCUAAUACGGGAUAUUCUGGGUCUGUCGCAUGGUGGGCCUGGGAAAGAUUGCGCCUUUUUUGGUGUUUUUGGUGGGGGAUGGGCUCGCGGCCUAUCAGCUUGUUGGUGGGGUGAUGGCCUACCAAGGCGGUGACGGGUAGCCGGCCUGAGAGGGUGGACGGUCACACUGGGACGGAGACACGGCCCAGACUUCUACGGGAGGCAGCAGUGGGGAAUAGUGCACAAUGGGCGCAAGCCUGAUGCAGCGACGCCGCGUGAGGGAUGGAGGCCUUCGGGUUGUGAACCUCUUUCGCCAGUGAAGCAGGCCUGCCUCUUUUUGUGGGUGGGUUGACGGUAGCUGGAUAAGAAGCGCCGGCUAACUACGUG